CAUUCUCGUGCAUCUUCUGUCGCUCUGGUGGUUCUCUCUGGGAGGGACUCAGACAGUCCCAGGAGACCUGGAAAUGGAUUUCUAAUGUUUCCCUACAUUCUCUGGCUCUGCUGUGAUCGUGAUAUGAGUGACACUGUAACCACAGAAAUGAAGUGUAAAUGGUUUCGUUUCUUCAUGCUCCUGUCAAAUUAUUGAGGAAAUGUGGAGAGACUCUUUGGCCUUUGAGGAUGUGGCUAUAAACUUCACCCUGGAUGAGUGGGUUUUACUGGAUUCCUCACAGAGGAAACUCUACAGAGAUGUGAUGCGGGAAAACUUCAGAAAUGUAGUCUCAGUAGAAGCAAAACAGGAAGAUCAUGACAUUGAAGAUCAGGACAAAAACCAGGAGAGAAAAUUACGGUGAGCCACAUGUACAGUACAAAGCAUGUCUCAUGUGAGAAUCUUAUGAAAACCUAAAAGGAAGC
Molecule: long non-coding RNA, 461 nt
Organism: Budorcas taxicolor (takin)
Lineage: Eukaryota; Metazoa; Chordata; Mammalia; Artiodactyla; Bovidae
Exons: 4
Source: RefSeq, a predicted model, not a curated record